GACGAACGCUGGCGGCGUGCUUAACACAUGCAAGUCGAACGGAAAGGCCCUGCUUUUGUGGGGUGCUCGAGUGGCGAACGGGUGAGUAACACGUGAGUAACCUGCCCUUGACUUUGGGAUAACUUCAGGAAACUGGGGCUAAUACCGGAUAGGAGCUCCUGCUGCAUGGUGGGGGUUGGAAAGUUUCGGCGGUUGGGGAUGGACUCGCGGCUUAUCAGCUUGUUGGUGGGGUAGUGGCUUACCAAGGCAUUGACGGGUAGCCGGCCUGAGAGGGUGACCGGCCACAUUGGGACUGAGAUACGGACCAGACUCCUACGGGAGGCAGCAGUGGGGAAUAUUGCACAAUGGGCGGAAGCCUGAUGCAGCAACGCCGCGGGCGGGAUGACGGCCUUCGGGUUGUAAACCGCUUUCGCCUGUGACGAAGCGUGAGUGACGGUAAUGGGUAAAGAAGCACCGGCUAACUACGUG
Molecule: ribosomal RNA, 468 nt
Filed under: uncultured bacterium
Lineage: Bacteria
Description: partial 16S ribosomal RNA
Rfam family: Bacterial small subunit ribosomal RNA
Source: RNAcentral